Molecule: small RNA, 262 nt
Filed under: Sorex araneus (European shrew)
Lineage: Eukaryota; Metazoa; Chordata; Mammalia; Eulipotyphla; Soricidae
Description: 7SK RNA (ENSSARG00000018000.1)
Rfam family: 7SK RNA (bases 1-186)
About the family: 7SK was discovered as an abundant small nuclear RNA in the mid-70s but a possible function has only recently been suggested. Two independent studies have found that 7SK RNA binds the CDK9/cyclin T complex (known as elongation factor P-TEFb). P-TEFb activates transcription by phosphorylating the C-terminal domain of RNA polymerase II.
Source: RNAcentral
GCACUGUUGAUCUGGCUGCGACAUCUGUCACUCCAUUGAUCGCCGGGAUUGAUUCCGCUGAUCUGGCUGGCUAAGCGGGUGUCCCCUUCCUCCCUCAAUACUCCAUGUGUGUCCCUCCCGAAGCUGCGCCCUCGCAGGACGGCUGUUCCCGAACAGAGCCAGUCUUCGGUCUAGGCUAUACGAGGGUAUAGCUGAACUCCUCCCUGCUGGAACCCCCAUGAGAAGUAUAUAAAUAUAUUUUGAUAAUCUGAAUCCUAACUUC